RNAcentral lists this ribosomal RNA (789 nucleotides) under Triticum aestivum (bread wheat). RNAcentral describes it as "partial small subunit ribosomal RNA". The record is from RNAcentral. Lineage: Eukaryota; Viridiplantae; Streptophyta; Magnoliopsida; Poales; Poaceae.
AUGAAGUGGAUUCAUCUUCUUGAAAUUAAGAGGGCAACUGGAUUUUUCUUCCUCGGCCUUGCCCAUUGCCCAGUGGUGCCAGUGCCAGUAAGCACUCAGUCUCCGCUGAUGACAUGUUGCUCUCCUACACCCCAGGCGUGCUCAUGGAGGAAAACACUGGAGACAAACUCCUAUCCAACACUCUUAUCACUUUGCAAGGCUGCAGUACAGGUGCAGAAGGCCUUUGCCCAGAUCCUUCUCCCCUUCCUUCAGCGCAACAGUGUCGACACCAUCAACAGGGACAGCAUGGAGAGGGCAAAGAAUUUGUUACUGGUUUGCAUUAGCGACCAAUGCACACACAGCUCAGCCUUCAUCAAGGGUGCUGAUGCAGCGGUGUUGUUGAAGGGCAUGGAAGAGGGAAGCAGACUCUUCUUGCAAAGAGACAACGGCUUCAGAAAGGACCAGCAGAUGGUGCAAGUGAUCGAGGGGUGCCACCAUGUCCCUAGUGGUAUGAUGCUCCCUUACCUCUCACGCAUGCUCAUGGAGGACGACAUUGAUGGUAGGCUCUCUGAUCACCCUGCACUGCUCCAGGUGCAGCAGCACUUUGCUCAAAUCAUUUCCUCCCAUUCCUUUGGUGUCAACAGUGGUGACAGAGAGGGGGCCAAGGAUUUGUUGCAAGUUGGCGAUAGUGAUGAAUCCUCAUCCAAGGGUGCAGAUCGAUGCCUUGGGGGUGUUGUUCAAGGGCAUGGAACAAGCCAACAUGCAUGGUCUUGCCCAGAUAUAACAUCUUCAGAAGGGAUGAGCUGGUGA